RNAcentral lists this ribosomal RNA (547 nucleotides) under uncultured bacterium. Its description in RNAcentral is "bacterial SSU rRNA". It matches the Rfam family "Bacterial small subunit ribosomal RNA", at positions 57 to 597 of the family's 1533-position model. The record is from RNAcentral.
GCAAGUCGAGGGGUAACAGGGAUAGCUUGCUAUCUGCUGACGACCGGCGCACGGGUGCGGAACGCGUAUGGAACCUGCCCCUGUCAGGGGAAUAGCCCAGAGAAAUUUGGAUUAAUGCCCCAUGGUAUCGAAUUACCGCAUGGUAAUUUGAUUAAAGAUUUAUCGGACAGGGAUGGCCAUGCGUACCAUUAGCUAGUUGGUAAGGUAACGGCUUACCAAGGCAACGAUGGUUAGGGGCCCUGAGAGGGGGAUCCCCCACACUGGUACUGAGACACGGACCAGACUCCUACGGGAGGCAGCAGUGAGGAAUAUUGGACAAUGGCCGAAAGGUUGAUCCAGCCAUGCCGCGUGCAGGAUGACGGCCCUAUGGGUUGUAAACUGCUUUUACACGGGAAGAAACCUCCCCUCGUGAGGGGAGCUGACGGUACCGUGAGAAUAAGGACCGGCUAACUCCGUGCCAGCAGCCGCGGUAAUACGGAGGGUCCGAGCGUUAUCCGGAAUCAUUGGGUUUAAAGGGUCCGUAGGCGGGCCUAUAAGUCAGGGGUGA